GGGGGCGCUUAUAUGGNCAGUCGAGCGAGCUUGCCUAGAUGAUUUUAGUGCUUGCACUAAAUGAAACUAGAUACAAGCGAGCGGCGGACGGGUGAGUAACACGUGGGUAACCUGCCCAAGAGACUGGGAUAACACCUGGAAACAGAUGCUAAUACCGGAUAACAACACUAGACGCACGUCUAGAGUUUGAAAGAUGGUUCUGCUAUCACUCUUGGAUGGACCUGCGGUGCAUUAGCUAGUUGGUAAGGUAACGGCUUACCAAGGCAAUGAUGCAUAGCCGAGUUGAGAGACUGAUCGGCCACAUUGGGACUGAGACACGGCCCAAACUCCUACGGGAGGCAGCAGUAGGGAAUCUUCCACAAUGGACGAAAGUCUGAUGGAGCAACGCCGCGUGAGUGAAGAAGGGUUUCGGCUCGUAAAGCUCUGUUGGUAGUGAAGAAAGAUAGAGGUAGUAACUGGCCUUUAUUUGACGGUAAUUACUUAGAAAGUCACGGCUAACUACGUGCCAGCAGCCGCGGUAAUACGUAGGUGGCAAGCGUUGUCCGGAUUUAUUGGGCGUAAAGCGAGUGCAGGCGGUUCAAUAAGUCUGAUGUGAAAGCCUUCGGCUCAACCGGAGAAUUGCAUCAGAAACUGUUGAACUUGAGUGCAGAAGAGGAGAGUGGAACUCCAUGUGUAGCGGUGGAAUGCGUAGAUAUAUGGAAGAACACCAGUGGCGAAGGCGGCUCUCUGGUCUGCAACUGACGCUGAGGCUCGAAAGCAUGGGUAGCGAACAGGAUUAGAUACCCUGGUAGUCCAUGCCGUAAACGAUGAGUGCUAAGUGUUGGGAGGUUUCCGCCUCUCAGUGCUGCAG
This 850-nucleotide ribosomal RNA is filed under the name uncultured bacterium. Its description in RNAcentral is "bacterial SSU rRNA". It matches the Rfam family "Bacterial small subunit ribosomal RNA", at positions 41 to 851 of the family's 1533-position model. The record is from RNAcentral.